GUCUGUACUUAUUAUACAUGAAAUUAUGAAAUCCUAUAGUUGAUGGAAUUGUGAUUUAUAUAAAUAGAGAUAACAAAAAAAAAAUUAAAAUGUAAUUAGAAAAUCUUAAUCAAUAAAAGUUUUGGGGAAUUUUAGUAGAAUAAUAAAAGCCUUUGUCCAUACCAUAAUAGUUAAUUAUAUUUUUUCCCAAGAAAAAAGGAAAAAAUGCAAAAGUUCCUUUAUCCAUACCAUUACAUUUAAUUGUACUUUUUACGUUUACAAAAGUUCUCUCAAGUCCUGAACAUCUGUACUCUUUUGUGUAAGACUAAUUUCAUAUUUUUAAUCUUUAAAAAGCAAGUAUUUAUGUGGGUAUUUUUCUUCUUUAUAAUUGUGCAGACACAGCUG
Molecule: unclassified non-coding RNA, 384 nt
Filed under: Hevea brasiliensis (rubber tree)
Lineage: Eukaryota; Viridiplantae; Streptophyta; Magnoliopsida; Malpighiales; Euphorbiaceae
Source: RNAcentral